This 395-nucleotide ribosomal RNA is filed under the name uncultured bacterium. RNAcentral's name for it is "partial 16S ribosomal RNA". It matches the Rfam family "Bacterial small subunit ribosomal RNA", at positions 523 to 918 of the family's 1533-position model. The record is from RNAcentral.
AUACGUAUGGGGCAAGCGUUAAUCGGAAUUACUGGGCGUAAAGCGUGCGCAGGCGGUUUUUUAAGUUCGUGGUGAAAUCUCCCGGCUCAACCGGGGGACGGCGAUGGUUACUGCCAGGCUAGAGUGCGGCAGAGGGGGAUGGAAUUCCGCGUGUAGCGGUGAAAUGCGGAGAUAUGCGGAGGAACACCGGUGGCGAAGGCACUCCCGUGCGAAUGCACUGACGCUAAGGCACGAAAGCGUGGGGAACAGAGAGGAUUAGAUCCCCUGGUAGUCGACGCCAAAAACGACGGCAACUGGUUGGUGGGUCGUAAAUUCCUCAGUAACGAAGCUAACACGUGAAGUUGACGGCCUGGGGAGUACGGCCGCAAGGUUGAAACUCAAAGGAAUUGACGGGG